RNAcentral lists this ribosomal RNA (460 nucleotides) under uncultured bacterium. Its description in RNAcentral is "partial 16S ribosomal RNA". It matches the Rfam family "Bacterial small subunit ribosomal RNA", at positions 338 to 795 of the family's 1533-position model. The record is from RNAcentral.
CCUACGGGUGGCAGCAGUGAGGAAUAUUGGUCAAUGGACGAAAGUCUGAACCAGCCAAGUAGCGUGAAGGAUGACUGCCCUAUGGGUUGUAAACUUCUUUUAUAUGGGAAUAAAAUGUUCCACGUGUGGGGUUUUGUAUGUAUCGUAUGAAUAAGGAUCGGCUAACUCCGUGCCAGCAGCCGCGGUAAUACGGAGGAUUCGAGCGUUAUCCGGAUUUAUUGGGUUUAAAGGGUGCGUAGGUGGGUUGUUAAGUCAGUGGUGAAAGUGUGCGGCUCAACCGUAAAAUUGCAGUUGAUACUGGCAGUCUAGAGUACAGUAGAGGUGGGCGGAAUGUGUGGUGUAGCGGUGAAAUGCUUAGAGAUCACGAAGAACUCCGAUUGCGAAGGCAGCUCACUGGACUGCAACUGACACUGAGGCUCGAAAGUGUGGGGAUCAAACAGGAUUAGAUACCCUGGUAGUC